AUGGAAUACUUGGAAUUAGUAGAAUUCUCAAACUACGGAACCAACUGCUUUCGCGCCGGGGGGUGGGCGAGAUCCAGAGCAAGGACCCUAAGAAUCUGCAAGAUAUCUCGAGAAAUGGUUUUAGCACCGGUCUCUCAUAUAUGUACUCCAGUUUAUCCGAAGUAUCCCAAUGGUGUAAGACCGUCGACUAUUUGGGAAAAAGGAGGAAAAUCACUCUGA
This 219-nucleotide ribosomal RNA is filed under the name Triticum aestivum (bread wheat). RNAcentral describes it as "partial small subunit ribosomal RNA". The record is from RNAcentral. Lineage: Eukaryota; Viridiplantae; Streptophyta; Magnoliopsida; Poales; Poaceae.